CCCCUGAUAGCUCAACGGUUGAACUUUUUGGUUUCACAAGAACAAAAAGUUUCGAGAAAGAGCGCGCGGCUGUAGACCGCGAGGUUCUGGGUUCAAAUCCCAGUCGGGGGA
Molecule: transfer RNA, 111 nt
Filed under: Candidatus Aenigmatarchaeota archaeon
Lineage: Archaea; Nanobdellati; Candidatus Aenigmatarchaeota
Description: tRNA-Tyr
Rfam family: tRNA
About the family: Transfer RNA (tRNA) molecules are approximately 80 nucleotides in length. Their secondary structure includes four short double-helical elements and three loops (D, anti-codon, and T loops). Further hydrogen bonds mediate the characteristic L-shaped molecular structure. tRNAs have two regions of fundamental functional importance: the anti-codon, which is responsible for specific mRNA codon recognition, and the 3' end, to which the tRNAs corresponding amino acid is attached (by aminoacyl-tRNA synthetases). tRNAs cope with the degeneracy of the genetic code in two manners: having more than one tRNA (with a specific anti-codon) for a particular amino acid; and 'wobble' base-pairing, i.e. permitting non-standard base-pairing at the 3rd anti-codon position.
Source: RNAcentral